This is a long non-coding RNA of Suricata suricatta (meerkat), 2060 nucleotides long. NCBI's taxonomy places the organism in Eukaryota, Metazoa, Chordata, Mammalia, Carnivora, Herpestidae. The record is from Ensembl.
AGGGUGAAGGGAGGAAGGGGGGAAGACAGAGGGAGACAGAGAGAAGUUUGCACAGGAAGCUGAGGCAGAUCUUUCCUCAAGGGAUUUUUUUUUUUUUAAACAAAGGGAGCGUUGUGUUGAGAAAGGAUCGAGGAGCAAAAAAAAAAUUGCCAAGGGACACUGCAGCCCGCCGAGGUUGGUGCCCGUGGGUGUCUGCUCUCUGGGUGGCCGGGGCCUUCCUCCUGCACUGGUGAGAGGGACAGGCUCGGGCUGUGACAUCACUGGUGAGAGAAGCACAGAGAGGUCUGAGCAUUCCAGUGGCCCCUGCCUCUUCUCUGCCUGGUCCCCUGACUGCCUCUUCCCUGCAGGAAGCCAAAGAGAGGAUGCGGACAGCGACUGGGAACCCUUUUAGGGCACUUCCGAAUCUGAGUGGGAGGUCCUCUCCCAAGGGACAGAUGAGCUACCCGAAGGAUGAGCACUUGUCCCGCCAGCUCUAGGGAGGGCUAAAAUACUUUCGUGUCGUAUGAGACAGGGACCCUCUGUGGGAGCAGGCAAUUUCCAGACACCCGGACUGCUCCCUAAUCCAGCCUGUGUGUAACGAAGCCAGCAGGUGCUGUGCAUCACCCUUUCCGUGGCCUGCCCUGGCUGCCACCACCCUCAGCUCCGACCUGAGCUCGGGCCCCCAGGAUCCUGAUCUUUCCCUUCUGGUCAGUUCAGCAGCUGCCCCGGGUUCCCAGCCUGCCCUUCGGGGAGGCGUCUCCAGGUGCCCUAAGCAGCCACUGCCUCCACUGUCCCAGAGACAGCACUUCCUAAGCGGAGGCCUUACCAGCAUCCCCAGGGUUCCUCACUAAUGUUCAAGUCCUUCCAGGCAGACCUCUCUUUGAGGGAUCCCCCUGAUGUGGGACAAACCUCUCUGGUCCCCCAAGUUGUCUCAAUGUGAGGAACAUUGAACUUCCUUUCUGGCCCUGCUCAUCACGUCCAAUGCUCUGCCCUCCAAACAGAAGGAAGCAUUGUGACCUCAUCCCUGACCGCACCCGCUGCCCUGAAAUUCUACCUGCAGCUUCAAGAGAUGGUAUACUUCCGCCUUUCUGUUAUGACACUAAUGUGCUCAACUUCUUACAACUUGUAGAGCCACGAUGGGAUUUCUGGAGGAAAUGUUCAAUUGAGGAGAGUGGCGAGGAGGAGAAGCAGAACGUGGGGGCCUGCUCUUGUUUCCCGACUCACACCCAGAUGGAGCAAAGAGAGCCAGGAAAAGCAAAUUCAGGCAGACCGCAAGGAUGCAAAGAAAGCACUUCUCCAGCCCAGAUAGAGCAUGGGGCCAGCACCAGCGACACCACCAUUGUGCCAACAGCCCCUGCCAACCAUGGCUGGCAUCCCAGAUGCUUGCAAAUUGAAGGCGAAGACACAGGAGGCCUCUGGCUGCCCGCAGGCUCCAUUUCCCCACUCUGUGUGUCUUCGUCCCUUCAUAAAAGCAAUUUCCAAGCUACUUCCCUGCAGAGCAUUAGCAUAAAAGAGGUCUGGCAGUACCAUCCUGUUUCUUUUAUUUGAAGCACAUGCUCAUUAUAGACUUUCUUUCAAAUAAAUCAUAUUGCUGGCUGCAAAGGAGAAUAUUUCUCUGGGCUCACGUGACACGCCGACAAGAAACCACAGCACCAUGGUCUCUGUGUCAUGGCAGGCACGAGGACCCUGUGCCUCUCUCAAAUCUGCAAAGGGCCUGGACUACAGCUAGGUUUCCACCUUGUUCCUAAACGAAUACCAUGAUCCACAGGUACAUCUUCUGCGGGAAACAUUACUUUGCAUGCACCUGCCCUGCUUGAAGAGGCUGGGAGGUGAGGCUGUGGGGCAGCAGGGGCAGGAUGGCCAGAAUGCCCUGGAAGGCUGUGUAAGGCAGUUGUCGCAGACAGAGGUGAGCCGGCACCAGAGCACAGAGCCUUCUGAUUCCAACCCCAAUACUCUCCACCAGCCAUUCUGUAUCAUUAUUGGUACCCCAGUCCUUGUGCUGGAGGCCCCCAAAUUCCAACAUGCCUCCAACGGCUGUGUGUAAUUUACCAACAGGCUACUCAGUAAACUCAUGGUAACCA